UGGGGAAUAUUGGACAAUGGGGGGAACCCUGAUCCAGCCAUGCCGCGUGUGUGAAGAAGGCCUUAUGGUUGUAAAGCACUUUAAGCGAGGAGGAGGGUACUGGUAUUAAUACUACCAGGUACUGGACGUUACUCGCAGAAUAAGCACCGGCUAACUCUGUGCCAGCAGCCGCGGUAAUACAGAGGGUGCGAGCGUUAAUCGGAUUUACUGGGCGUAAAGCGUGCGUAGGCGGCUAAUUGAGUCGGAUGUGAAAUCCCCGAGCUUAACUUGGGAACUGCAUUCGAUACUGGUUAGCUAGAGUGUGGGAGAGGAUGGUAGAAUUCCAGGUGUAGCGGUGAAAUGCGUAGAGAUCUGGAGGAAUACCGAUGGCGAAGGCAGCCAUCUGGCCUAACACUGACGCUGAGGUACGAAAGCAUGGGGAGCAAACAGG
This 430-nucleotide ribosomal RNA is filed under the name Pseudomonadota bacterium. RNAcentral describes it as "Proteobacteria bacterium partial 16S ribosomal RNA". It matches the Rfam family "Bacterial small subunit ribosomal RNA", at positions 355 to 776 of the family's 1533-position model. The record is from RNAcentral. Lineage: Bacteria; Pseudomonadati; Pseudomonadota.